CCUACGGGAGGCAGCAGUGAGGAAUAUUGGACAAUGGGUGAGAGCCUGAUCCAGCCAUCCCGCGUGCAGGAAGACGGCCCUAUGGGUUGUAAACUGCUUUUGUACGGGAAGAAACCCUCCUACGUGUAGGAGCUUGACGGUACCGUAAGAAUAAGCAUCGGCUAACUCCGUGCCAGCAGCCGCGGUAAU
This 189-nucleotide ribosomal RNA is filed under the name uncultured bacterium. RNAcentral's name for it is "partial 16S ribosomal RNA". It matches the Rfam family "Bacterial small subunit ribosomal RNA", at positions 338 to 524 of the family's 1533-position model. The record is from RNAcentral.